GCACUGUUGACGAGUCCCAAACAGCACGAAACAGCUGUCCAGUGC
Molecule: non-coding RNA, 45 nt
Filed under: Echinostoma caproni
Lineage: Eukaryota; Metazoa; Platyhelminthes; Trematoda; Plagiorchiida; Echinostomatidae
Source: RNAcentral